AUAAAUCAAAUCCUAAAUAUAUUAUUUGUUCUUGACCAACGUUUGUGGCUAUCUUGAUCAAUGGUUUCUUUCAAUGCCAUUUGAUCCCGGAAACACCACAUAUAUUA
Carya illinoinensis is the source of this 107-nucleotide small nucleolar RNA. The record is from RefSeq and is a predicted model, not a curated record. NCBI's taxonomy places the organism in Eukaryota, Viridiplantae, Streptophyta, Magnoliopsida, Fagales, Juglandaceae.